AUUGAACGCUGGCGGCAGGCCUAACACAUGCAAGUCGAGCGGAUGAGAAGAGCUUGCUCUUCGAUUCAGCGGCGGACGGGUGAGUAAUGCCUAGGAAUCUGCCUAUUAGUGGGGGACAACGUUUCGAAAGGAACGCUAAUACCGCAUACGUCCUACGGGAGAAAGCAGGGGACCUUCGGGCCUUGCGCUAAUAGAUGAGCCUAGGUCGGAUUAGCUAGUUGGUGAGGUAAUGGCUCACCAAGGCUACGAUCCGUAACUGGUCUGAGAGGAUGAUCAGUCACACUGGAACUGAGACACGGCCCAGACUCCUACGGGAGGCAGCAGUGGGGAAUAUUGGACAAUGGGGGGAACCCUGAUCCAGCCAUGCCGCGUGUGUGAAGAAGGUCUUCGGAUUGUAAAGCACUUUAAGUUGGGAGGAAGGGCAGUUACCUAAUACGUGAUUGUUUUGACGUUACCGACAGAAUAAGCACCGGCUAACUCUGUGCCAGCAGCCGCGGUAAUACAGAGGGUGCAAGCGUUAAUCGGAAUUACUGGGCGUAAAGCGCGCGUAGGUGGUUUGUUAAGUUGGAUGUGAAAUCCCCGGGCUCAACCUGGGAACUGCAUUCAAAACUGACUGACUAGAGUAUGGUAGAGGGUGGUGGAAUUUCCUGU
Molecule: ribosomal RNA, 651 nt
Filed under: uncultured Pseudomonas sp.
Lineage: Bacteria; Pseudomonadati; Pseudomonadota; Gammaproteobacteria; Pseudomonadales; Pseudomonadaceae
Description: bacterial SSU rRNA
Rfam family: Bacterial small subunit ribosomal RNA
Source: RNAcentral